This 1336-nucleotide ribosomal RNA is filed under the name uncultured Bacillota bacterium. RNAcentral describes it as "bacterial SSU rRNA". It matches the Rfam family "Bacterial small subunit ribosomal RNA". The record is from RNAcentral. Lineage: Bacteria; Bacillati; Bacillota.
AUCGAACGCUGGCGGCGUGUUUAAUACAUGCAAGUCGAACGGACUUAGGGGAGCUUGCUCCCCGAAGGUUAGUGGCGGACGGGUGAGUAACACGUGAGCAACCUGCCCUUCGGAGGGGGACAACAGUGGGAAACUACUGCUAAUACCGCAUAACAUAUUCUUGUGGCAUCGCAGGAAUAUCAAAGAUUUAUCGCCGAAGGAUGGGCUCGCGUCUGAUUAGCUAGUUGGUGGUGUAAUGGACCACCAAGGCGACGAUCAGUAGCCGGACUGAGAGGUUGGCCGGCCACAUUGGGACUGAGAUACGGCCCAGACUCCUACGGGAGGCAGCAGUAGAGAAUAUUGGGCAAUGGGGGCAACCCUGACCCAGCAACGCCGCGUGAAGGAAGAAGGCUUUCGGGUUGUAAACUUCUUUGACGAGGGACGAAACAAAUGACGGUACCUCGAAAACAAGCCACGGCUAACUACGUGCCAGCAGCCGCGGUAAUACGUAGGUGGCAAGCGUUGAUCGGAUUUACUGGGUGUAAAGGGCGCGUAGGCGGGUAUUCAAGUCAGAUGUGUAAUCUAUGGGCUUAACCCAUAAACUGCAUUUGAAACUGUUUACCUUGAGUGAUGGAGAGGCAGGCGGAAUUCCUAGUGUAGCGGUGAAAUGCGUAGAUAUUAGGAGGAACACCAGUGGCGAAGGACUGACCCCCUCCGUGCCGGAGUUAACACAAUAAGUAUUCCACCUGGGGAGUACGGCCGCAAGGCUGAAACUCAAAGGAAUUGACGGGACCCCGCACAAGCAGUGGAUUAUGUGGUUUAAUUCGAUGCUACACGAAGAACCUUACCAGGGCUUGACAUGGAGAUGACCGCCGUAGAGAUACGGUUUCCCCUUCGGGGGCAUCUCACACAGGUGGUGCAUGGUUGUCGUCAGCUCGUGUCGUGAGAUGUUGGGUUAAGUCCCGCAACGAGCGCAACCCCUGUUGCUAGUUGCUACGCGAGAGCACUCUAGCGAGACUGCCGUUGAUAAAACGGAGGAAGGAGGGGACGAUGUCAAAUCAUCAUGCCCUUUAUGUCCUGGGCUACACACGUAAUACAAUGGCGUUUAACAAUGGGAAGCGAAGCCGCGAGGCGGAGCAAAUCCCCAAAAGGCGCCUCAGUUCGGAUCGCAGGCUGCAAUCCGCCUGCGUGAAGUCGGAAUUGCUAGUAAUCGCGGAUCAGCUAGCCGCGGUGAAUACGUUCCCGGGGUUUGUACACACCGCCCGUCACACCAUGAGAGCCGGGGACACCCGAAGCCCGUAGCCUAACCUUUUUAUAUUGGAGGGCGCGGUCGAAGGUGGAUUUGGUAAUUGGGGUG